This 482-nucleotide ribosomal RNA is filed under the name Blastocystis sp. RNAcentral's name for it is "SSU rRNA". It matches the Rfam family "Eukaryotic small subunit ribosomal RNA", at positions 460 to 953 of the family's 1831-position model. Lineage: Eukaryota; Bigyra; Opalinata; Blastocystidae. The record is from RNAcentral.
GGAGGUAGUGACAAUAAAUCACAAUGCGGAACAAUGCUUUGCAAUUGGAUUGAGAACAACGUACAAACCUUAUCGAUAAACAAUUGGAGGGCAAGUCUGGUGCCAGCAGCCGCGGUAAUUCCAGCUCCAAUAGCGUAUAUUAACGUUGUUGCAGUUAAAAAGCUCGUAGUUGAAAUGAAGGGUAGUUGUGUAAUGAAUACAUUCGUGUAUUUUGUUAUUCUACUACCCUCCUUCUAAAUUCGAUAUAUGAGUAUUAAUUUACUUGUAUAUGGUUUUAGACUUUUACUGUGAGAAAAUUAGAGUGUUCAAAGCAGGCAUUUGCUUGAAUAUAUUAGCAUGGAAUAAUCAUGUAUGAUUUUCAUGAUGUAUUUGAUUGGUUUGGUUCAUGAGAAUAAGAUUAAAAGGGACAGUUGGGGGUAUUCAUAUUCAAUAGUCAGAGGUGAAAUUCUCGGAUUUAUGGAAGAUGAACAAGUGCGAAAGCA